Molecule: ribosomal RNA, 301 nt
Filed under: uncultured bacterium
Lineage: Bacteria
Description: partial 16S ribosomal RNA
Rfam family: Bacterial small subunit ribosomal RNA
Source: RNAcentral
CAGUAGCCGCGGUAAUACGAGGGGGGCAAGCGUUGUUCGGAAUUAUUGGGCGUAAAGGGUGCGCAGGCGGUUAUAUAAGACAGAUGUGAAAUCCCCGGGCUCAACCUGGGACCUGCAUUUGUGACUGUAUAGCUAGAGUACGGUAGAGGGGGAUGGAAUUCCGCGUGUAGCAGUGAAAUGCGUAGAUAUGUGGAGGAACACCAGUGGCGAAGGCGACUCUCUGGUCUGUAACUGACGCUGAGGAGCGAAAGCGUGGGGAGCGAACAGGAUUAGAUACCCCGGUAGUCCCUGUCUCUUAUAC